AACGUAGGAGACGAACGUUAUCCGGAGUUACUGGGCGUAAAGGGCGUGUAGGCGGUAUGUUAAGUCUGGCGUGAAAGCUCUCGGCUAAACCGGGAGAGGUCGUUGGAUACUGGCACACUAGAGGAUGGUAGAGGCGUGUGGAAUUCCCGGUGUAGCGGUGAAAUGCGCAGAUAUCGGGAGGAACACCUAUGGCGAAGGCAGCUCGCUGGGACGGUACUGACGCUGAGACGCGAAAGCGUGGGGAGCAAACAGG
RNAcentral lists this ribosomal RNA (253 nucleotides) under uncultured bacterium. RNAcentral's name for it is "partial 16S ribosomal RNA". It matches the Rfam family "Bacterial small subunit ribosomal RNA", at positions 524 to 776 of the family's 1533-position model. The record is from RNAcentral.